ACAGGGGCCCAGAACCCCGAGCAGGCCUUUAGAGAAAAAUGGCAGAUGAUAUUGAUAUUGAAGCAAUGCUUGAGGCUCCUUACAAGAAGGAUGAGAACAAGUUGAGCAGUGCUAAUGGCCAUGAAGAACGUAGCAAAAAGAGGAAAAAAAGCAAGAGCAGAAGUCGUAGUCAUGAACGAAAAAGAAGCAAAAGUAAGGAAUGGAAGCGAAGCAGAGAUAGAGAAAGGAAAACGAGCAAAAGCUGUGAAAGGAAGCGAAGUAGAAGCAAAGAAAGGAGACGGAGCCGCUCAAGAAGCCGAGAUCGCAGAUUCAGAGGCCACUACAGAAGUCCUUACUCCGGACCAAAAUUUAACAGUGCCAUCCGAGGAAAGAUUGGGUUGCCUCAUAGCGUCAAAUUAAGCAGACGACGUUCCCGAAGCAAAAGUCCAUUCAGAAAAGACAAGAGCCCCGUGAGGGAACCUAUUGAUAAUCUAACUCCUGAGGAAAGAGAUGCAAGGACGGUUUUCUGCAUGCAGCUGGCAGCAAGAAUUCGGCCAAGGGAUCUGGAAGAGUUUUUUUCUACAGUAGGAAAGGUUCGAGAUGUGAGGAUGAUUUCUGAUAGAAAGUCAAGACGGUCCAAGGGAAUUGCUUAUGUGGAGUUUGUUGAUGUUAGCUCAGUGCCUCUAGCAAUAGGAUUAACUGGCCAACGUGUUUUAGGAGUGCCAAUCAUAGUACAGGCAUCACAGGCAGAAAAAAACAGAGCUGCCGCAAUGGCAAACAAUCUACAAAAGGAGAGUGCUGGACCUAUGAGGCUUUAUGUGGGCUCAUUACACUUAAGCAUAACUGAAGAUAUGCUGCGGGGGAUCUUUGAGCCUUUUGGAAGGAUUGAAAGUAUCCAGCUCAUGAUGGAUAGUGAAACAGGCCAAUCCAAGGGAUAUGGAUUUAUUACGUUUUCCGAUUCAGAAUGUGCCAAGAAGGCUUUGGAACAACUUAAUGGAUUUCAACUAGUAGGAAGGCCAAUGAAAGUUGGUCAUGUUACUGAACGAACUGAUGCUUCCAGUGCUAGCUCCUUUUUGGACAGUGAUGAACUGGAAAGGACUGGAAUUGAUUUGGGAACAACUGGUCGUCUUCAAUUAAUGGCAAGACUUGCAGAGGGUACAGGUUUGCAGAUCCCACCAGCAGCACAGCAAGCUCUACAAAUGAGUGGCUCCUUGGCAUUUGGUGCUGUGUCAGAAUUCUCUUUUGUUACAGAUUUGCAAACAAGACUUUCCCAACAGACUGAAGCUUCAGCUUUAGCUGCAGCUGCCUCUGUCCAACCUCUUGCAACACAGUGUUUUCAACUCUCUAACAUGUUUAACCCUCAAACAGAAGAAGUUGGAUGGGAUACAGAGAUUAAGAAUGAUGUGAUUGAAGAAUGUAAUAAACAUGGAGGAGUUAUUCAUAUUUAUGUUGACAAAAAUUCAGCUCAGGGCAAUGUGUAUGUGAAGUGCCCAUCAAUUGCUGCAGCCGUCGCUGCUGUAAAUGCAUUGCAUGGCAGGUGGUUUGCUGGUAAAAUGAUAACAGCAGCAUAUGUACCUCUUCCAACUUAUCACAACCUCUUUCCUGAUUCUAUGACCAACACAACUACUGGUCCCAAGUAGACGAUGAAGGAAGAUAUAGUCUCUUAUGUACAUAGCUCUUUUUCUUUUGAGAAUUCAUCUUGAGUUAUCUUUUAUUUAGAU
Molecule: RNA transcript, 1700 nt
Organism: Myotis lucifugus (little brown bat)
Lineage: Eukaryota; Metazoa; Chordata; Mammalia; Chiroptera; Vespertilionidae
Gene name: RNA-binding protein 39 pseudogene
Exons: 1
Source: RefSeq, a predicted model, not a curated record